This is an unclassified non-coding RNA of Nomascus leucogenys (northern white-cheeked gibbon), 318 nucleotides long. Its record names the gene 7SK. It matches the Rfam family "7SK RNA". From Rfam's summary of the family: 7SK was discovered as an abundant small nuclear RNA in the mid-70s but a possible function has only recently been suggested. The record is from Ensembl. Lineage: Eukaryota; Metazoa; Chordata; Mammalia; Primates; Hylobatidae.
GGAGUUCGAGACCAGCCUGGCCAACGUGGUGAAAUCCUCUCUACCCAAAAUACAAAAAUUGAUUUGGCUGAUCUGGCUGGCUAGACGGGUGUCCCCUUACUCCCUCAAUGCUCCAAGUGUGUCCGUCCCGACCCUCCCGAAGCUGCGCAGUGUGUCAAAGAGGACAACCAUCAACGACAGAGGACCAGUCUUCCUUUAACGGUAUGUGUAGCUGGUUUUCCAUUAAAACCUCCAAACAAUCUCUCAAAAAUGCAAAUUAUCAGUACUCAUUCCAAACUUAGGAAAUUAGAAAACCUGGCAGGGAGCCAGCAAUGCUUU